RNAcentral lists this long non-coding RNA (1525 nucleotides) under Equus caballus (horse). RNAcentral's name for it is "lncRNA (ENSECAG00000054155.1)". Lineage: Eukaryota; Metazoa; Chordata; Mammalia; Perissodactyla; Equidae. The record is from RNAcentral.
GUGUGGCAGCCGCUGGAGGAGGUUUCCAGCCAAACCCUAGCCUGGGCUUGUGCUGACUCUGUGGUUAGAUGGAAGGUGGAACUGGCAGGGCCGGUUCUGACAGCCUGACUCACCAGCUUCUUCAGCCCCCUGCCUCUCGCCACGGGCACAGUGUGGUGUGGGAAUGCAUGCAGGAAUGCCAGACUGUGGGCUCCCAGCCCUGGCCGGGGCGCUGGGCGGGCUGGGGCUGAGGCUGGAGCUAAUGGAGAUCCGGAGAGCCUGUGGGCUUGGGAAAAGGAGACUCUGAGAGUCCUGCUGCUCGGAGAAUCAUCAGAUGUCAGCACGGAGUGGCCGGACUCGACGGGACCCCAACACCCCAUGUUAGCAGAAAGGAAACUGGUGGGAAGCCUUUCCCAAGACCAGACAUCGACUCCUGGCAGAGCUGGGAUUUCCUGACAAUGAUAUUGAGACGUCAUUUUUUAUGGCUUCUGAGCUGCUUCCCCAGCCAAAAAUGACUUACCUGAGAAUGGAUUCAUUCCACAUCUGGGUCCAUCCACAGUGGAGAAUUCCAUUUCCAAAUACCCACGCGCGUGCUCUGUUUCCUUGCUCCUACGAGACCUAGCUCCCUGAGGAGGUCGCAGAGUAGGACCCGCCACACGUCUGGGGCCCCACCCAGUCAAAAAAGACCUUUGCAUAAGUUUCAAAGGAACGGGAGCUCGGAGAUGCCAGAAACCCAGAGAUUUCCAGGCCUGGAGGACAGGGCAGGCGAGCAAAGGAUGGCCCAAGUUUGCGAGGUUCCAGUCCUUCUGUACUCGGUGCCACUCAGCCACGUCUGGUGUGAGGCCCCAUUCAGAGCUCCGUUCUUAAGAGGGACGAUGACAGCCUGAGACGUGGUUGCAGAAGGGUGGCCAAGGCAGUGGGAGGGGCAUUGCAGCCUGCGCUGUAAGGAAAGGGAAAGACACUGAGAAGGUCUCGCCUGGAUCUGAGGACACUCGGGGCCACGGGAUGGCUGUGCAAACAAACCACCCUCUGUGUGGCUCAGGCUUGUUUUAAACAUCACGGAGCCCUGAGCAGAAGGGAAGGCCCAGGGCCAUGCUGGGAAGCCGGCGAGAAGCUCCGAGGGCAGCCACAAGAGGUCUGACGCUUGCUACGAGGAGACGAAGGAGGAGGGAAGAAAAGAGCCAAGCAUCCGGCCUCCAAGCCUCAUUCCUCGUCCCCUGUGGCCCCAUCAGCAUCAUUUCACACAGCGGGUCCCUCCCCGCAUCCAGCCACACUUCCCUCACUUGCUUCCGGAUGCCACCGUCUCCUGGGUGCCCCCCCACCCCGUUCACUGGCCACUCUCGUUCCCUUUGGCUGAUUCUCCACCGUCUUUGAGCCUCUUCUCUCUCCAUCUGUGCUCACUCCCUUGCUCACCUCACCUAGUCUUACGGCUUAAAAGCUCUCCGAUCUUUCCUCAAAGAUGGCUGGGGUCGGGCCCCAAUUAGUCUAGACUCUUUAGAAUGCGGGCACUUGGCAGCAGUUUGUCCCUGCUGCGUCCUGAUUGCCA